This 64-nucleotide transfer RNA is filed under the name Taenia pisiformis. Its description in RNAcentral is "tRNA-Lys". The record is from RNAcentral. Lineage: Eukaryota; Metazoa; Platyhelminthes; Cestoda; Cyclophyllidea; Taeniidae.
AUCUGUGUAUUCUAAUAUAAGAGCUGGAUUCUUACUUCAGUAAUGUGAAAUUUCACCAUAGAUU